RNAcentral lists this ribosomal RNA (1080 nucleotides) under uncultured bacterium. Its description in RNAcentral is "bacterial SSU rRNA". It matches the Rfam family "Bacterial small subunit ribosomal RNA", at positions 336 to 1398 of the family's 1533-position model. The record is from RNAcentral.
CUCCUACGGGAGGCUGCAGUCGAGAAUCUUUCGCAAUGCCCGAAAGGGUGACGAAGCGACGCCGCGUGUGGGAUGAAGGCCUUCGGGUUGUAAACCACUGUCGGGAGUUAAGAAUUGUAGGAAUGCUAAUAGUAUUUCUACUUGACUAAGGCUCCGGAGGAAGCCACGGCUAACUCUGUGCCAGCAGCCGCGGUAAUACAGAGGCGGCAAGCGUUGUUCGGAAUUAUUGGGCGUAAAGAGCAUGUAGGCGGCUAUGUAAGUCGGUUGUGAAAGCCUUCCGCUUAACGGAAGAAUGGCGGUCGAAACUGCAUGGCUUGAGUGCGGGAGGGGAGAGUGGAACUUCUGGUGGAGCGGUGAAAUGCGUAGAUAUCAGAAGGAACGUCGGCGGCGAAAGCGACUCUCUAGACCGUAACUGACGCUGAGUGUGCGAAAGCUAGGGGAGCAAACGGGAUUAGAUACCCCGGUAGUCCUAGCCGUAAACGAUGGGCACUAAGUAGAGGGGUUUUGAUUAUCUCUCUGCCGGAGCUAACGCAUUAAGUGCCCCGCCUGGGGAGUACGGCCGCAAGGCUAAAACUCAAAAGAAUUGACGGGGGCUCGCACAAGCGGUGGAGCAUGUGGCUUAAUUCGAUGCAACGCGAAGAACCUUACCGGGGCUUGACAUGAUAGAAGUAGGAACCCGAAAGGGCGACGAACGGUAUCCAGCCCGAAACUAUCACAGGUGUUGCAUGGCUGUCGUCAGCUCGUGUCGUGAGACGUUGGGUUAAGUCCCCUAACGAGCGAAACCCUUGUCUUUAGUUGCCAUCAGGUUAUGCUGGGCACUCUAAAGAGACUGCUGUCGUCAAGACGGAGGAAGGUGGGGAUGACGUCAAGUCAUCAUGGCCCUUAUGUCCCGGGCUGCACACGUGCUACAAUGGUUGGUACAAAGGGAUGCUAAACUGUAAAGCGGAGCGAAACCCAUAAAACCGAUCUCAGUUCAGAUUGGAGGCUGAAACCCGCCUCCAUGAAGUAGGAAUCGCUAGUAAUCGCGGAUCAGCUACGCCGCGGUGAAUAUGUUCCCGAGCCUUGAUCACACCGCCCGUC